AUGCCCCCGUGGGAGCGCUUCCAUGAGCUGUGCCUCCUUCGUUUUGGGCCGCCGAUCCGCGGGAGCCACCUGGCCGAGUUGGGCCGCCUUCCCUUCACCUCUACGGUGCAAGACUACACCGACCGCUUUCAGGCCCUGGCGUGCCACGCGUCCGGCAUGACGGCUCACCAGCGGGCCGAACUCUUUGUCGGCGGUCUGCCAGAUCAUAUCCGCGUGGACGUCGAGCUGCAGGGACCCCAGGACCUCCAAACAGCCAUGUAUUACGCCCACGCGUUCGAGCGCCGCGCGGUGGCCAUGCAGCAGGCAUCACCGUCUCGGGCCACUGGGCCGCUACCCGGACCAGAUGUUCCCGCGCAGGGUCGGCCUGCUCAGGCUUCCGCGGCACCCCUCGCCGCGACCGCGGCGCGCCCGUUCCGCCGGCUCACCUUGGCCGAGCUACUCGAGCGUCGCCGCCAAGGGUUGUGCUUCAACUGCGAUGAGCCCUACACGCCCGGCCAUGUCUGCCCGCGACUCUUCUACCUGGAGGCUGCAGACUACAUUGAGGAGGACGCCGUCGCCGCCGACCUGACCGCCCCAGCUGUCGCGAAGGUGUUUGACGCUAGUUGA
RNAcentral lists this ribosomal RNA (606 nucleotides) under Triticum aestivum (bread wheat). RNAcentral's name for it is "partial small subunit ribosomal RNA". The record is from RNAcentral. Lineage: Eukaryota; Viridiplantae; Streptophyta; Magnoliopsida; Poales; Poaceae.